RNAcentral lists this unclassified non-coding RNA (329 nucleotides) under soil metagenome. Its description in RNAcentral is "partial contains 5.8S ribosomal RNA, internal transcribed spacer 2, and large subunit ribosomal RNA". The stretch from base 1 to 120 matches the Rfam family "5.8S ribosomal RNA", at positions 35 to 154 of the family's 154-position model. The record is from RNAcentral.
GAUGAAGAACGUAGCGAAAUGCGAUAAGUAGUGUGAAUUGCAGAAUUCAGUGAAUCAUCGAAUCUUUGAACGCACAUUGCGCCCCUUGGUAUCCCGAGGGGCAUGCCUGUUCGAGCGUCAUUUCACCACACAAGCCUGGCUUGGUGUUGGGCGACGUCCUCUUUGGGGACGCGCCUCGAAACGCUCGGCGGCGUGGCACCGGCUUUAAGCGUAGCAGAAUCUUUCGCUUUGGAAGUCGGGGCCCCGUCUGCCGGAAGACCUGCUCGCAAGGUUGACCUCGGAUCAGGCAGGGAUACCCGCUGAACUUAAGCAUAUCAAUAAGCGGAGGA